Molecule: ribosomal RNA, 1254 nt
Filed under: metagenome
Description: bacterial LSU rRNA
Rfam family: Bacterial large subunit ribosomal RNA
Source: RNAcentral
UACAGGUGGAUGAGGAGAGAAUCCUAAGGCCGGCGGAAGAAGCAUUGUCAAGGAACUCGGCAAAAUGACCCCGUAACUUCGGGAGAAGGGGUGCCUGCGAGAGCAGGCCGCAGAGAAUAGGCUCAAGCAACUGUUUAGCAAAAACACAGGUCUAUGCGAAACCGAAAGGUGAGGUAUAUGGGCUGACGCCUGCCCGGUGCUGGAAGGUUAAGAGGAGAGGUUAGCGCAAGCGAAGCUUUGAAUUUAAGCCCCAGUAAACGGCGGCCGUAACAAUAACGGUCCUAAGGUAGCGAAAUUCCUUGUCGGGUAAGUUCCGACCCGCACGAAAGGCGUAAUGAUUUGAGCGCUGUCUCGACAAUGCAUCCGGUGAAAUUGAAGUACCAGUGAAGAUGCUGGUUACCUGCGCCAGGACGGAAAGACCCCAUGGAGCUUUACUCCAGUUUGGUACUGGGAUCCGGUACUGCAUGUACAGGAUAGGUGGGAGGCUGAGAAUCGGUAACGCCAGUUGCCGAGGAGCCGCUGUUGGGAUACCACCCUUGCAGUAUUGGGUUUCUAACCAGCCGCCGUGACCCGGCGGUGGGACAAUGCCAGACGGGGAGUUUGACUGGGGCGGUCGCCUCCGAAAGGGUAUCGGAGGCGCCCAAAGGUUCCCUCAGGAUGGACGGAAACCAUCCAAAGAGUGCAAAGGCAGAAGGGAGCUUGACUGCGACACCGACGGGUGGAGCAGGUACGAAAGUAGGGCUUAGUGAUCCGGUGGUAUUAAGUGGGAAUGCCAUCGCUCAACGGAUAAAAGCUACCCUGGGGAUAACAGGCUUAUCACUCCCAAGAGUUCACAUCGACGGAGUGGUUUGGCACCUCGAUGUCGGCUCAUCGCAUCCUGGGGCUGUAGUAGGUCCCAAGGGUUGGGCUGUUCGCCCAUUAAAGCGGUACGCGAGCUGGGUUCAGAACGUCGUGAGACAGUUCGGUCCCUAUCCGGCGUGGGCGUAGGAUAUCUGAGAGGAGCUGUCCUUAGUACGAGAGGACCGGGAUGGACGGGCCGCUGGUGCACCGGUUAGACUGCCAAGUCUAUAGCCGGGUAGCCAAGCCCGGAAGGGAUAAACGCUGAAGGCAUCUAAGCGUGAAGCCCCCCUCAAGAUGAGAUAUCCCAUCCGAAAGGAGUAAACCCCCUUGAAGACGACGAGGUCGAUAGGGCAGGGGUGGAAGUGUGGUAACACAUGGAGCUGACUGCUACUAAUAGGGUGAGGGCUUGAUCAA